CAGCCGCCGCGGUAAUACGUAGGUGGCAAGCGUUGUCCGGGAUUAUUGGGCGUAAAGGGCUCGCAGGCGGUUUCUUAAGUCUGAAGUGAAAGCCCCCGGCUCAACCGGGGAGGGUCAUUGGAAACUGGGAAACUUGAGUGCAGAAGAGGAGAGUGGAGUUCCACGUGUAGCGGUGAAAUGCGUAGAGAUGUGGAGGAACACCAGUGGCGAAGGCGACUCUCUGGUCUGUAACUGACGCUGAGGAGCGAAAGCGUGGGGAGCAAACAGGAUUAGAUACCCGUGUAGUCCCUGUCUCUUAUAC
This 301-nucleotide ribosomal RNA is filed under the name uncultured bacterium. RNAcentral describes it as "partial 16S ribosomal RNA". It matches the Rfam family "Bacterial small subunit ribosomal RNA", at positions 509 to 807 of the family's 1533-position model. The record is from RNAcentral.